Molecule: ribosomal RNA, 312 nt
Filed under: uncultured bacterium
Lineage: Bacteria
Description: bacterial SSU rRNA
Rfam family: Bacterial small subunit ribosomal RNA
Source: RNAcentral
GACGAACGCUGGCGGUGUGCUUCACACAUGCAAGUCGAACGAGGUAGCAAUACCUAGUGGCGGACGGGUGAGUAACGCGUGGGAAUCUGCCUUUAGAUGGGGGAUAACGGGUCGAAAGACUCGCUAAUACCGCAUAUGACGAAAGUUGAAAGGAGUAAUCCGUCUAAAGAUGAGCCCGCGUCCGAUUAGCUAGUUGGUAGAGUAAAAGCCUACCAAGGCGACGAUCGGUAGCUGGUCUGAGAGGAUGAUCAGCCACAAUGGGACUAGAGACACGGCCCAUACUCUACGGAGGCAGCAGUGGGAAUUUUACGC